ACGGGAGGCAGCAGUGGGGAAUAUUGCACAAUGGGGGAAACCCUGAUGCAGCGACGCCGCGUGAGUGAAGAAGUAUUUCGGUAUGUAAAGCUCUAUCAGCAGGAAAGAAAAUGACGGUACCUGACUAAGAAGCCCCGGCUAACUACGUGCCAGCAGCCGCGGUAGUACGUAGGGGGCAAGCGUUAUCCGGAUUUACUGGGUGUAAAGGGAGCGUAGACGGUAAGGCAAGUCUGAAGUGAAAUGCCAGGGCUCAACCCUGGAACUGCUUUGGAAACUGUCCUACUAGAGUGCAGGAGAGGUAAGUGGAAUUCCUAGUGUAGCGGUGAAAUGCGUAGAUAUUAGGAGGAACACCAGUGGCGAAGGCGGCUUACUGGACUGUAACUGACGUUGAGGCUCGAAAGCGUGGGGAGCAAACAGGAUUAGAUACCCUGGUA
Molecule: ribosomal RNA, 434 nt
Filed under: uncultured Clostridium sp.
Lineage: Bacteria; Bacillati; Bacillota; Clostridia; Eubacteriales; Clostridiaceae
Also listed under: 1 other name
Description: partial 16S ribosomal RNA
Rfam family: Bacterial small subunit ribosomal RNA
Source: RNAcentral